AAAGCAUUCGAAUAUAAAGUUCCGCUUUAUACGUUUGUCGUUUGAGUGUUUCAGAACAGAUAUGGCUUCACCAAAACUUAGUAAUGUUAAUGACGACGUAUCGAAAUAUCUCUGCAAGGUGAGAAAAGGUGCAAUGAGCGAAUAUUCUAACCCAAUUGCAGAAUAUAUUUCGACGAAUUCCCAAAGAGAACCGGAUAUAUUGCGACGAUUAUACGAGGUGGGUUCGUCAACGUCAUCAUUUUUUAAAUUAACCUCAUGAGCACAUUUGGGUCCAUUAAAAUCAUAGUCAAUAAAAUAAGAAGGUUAAGAAACUUGAUGCAGACAAAUAGACCUGAUUAUCUAUGUUUUUGUCUCGGUUUAUGCAAAAAUGGUCGGUUCAUCGUCAUGUGUGAUGUGCAUGUGUGUAUUCAGGGACGCCGGAACGAUGUGAAGGCAAAGGGGGGGGGGGAGAUUUUCGUGAAAGGGCAAUUUUGAAUUGAUAUAUACUAAGUCAUCGAUAUUUACAAAACAUCUGGAGUUGAACUUCGCCUAAUCAUGUUUUCUAUUUAUUGGAUGAGAGGGGGUUCUCCGCCAAGGUGAUUGUGCUAUUCUUGAAGCUCGAUGACAACAUUUCUGACAAUUAGGCUGGAUCGAUAUACCGGAUAUAUCCGAUAUACCGGUAUUUGUUUAGAUACCGGUUUGGCGAUAUUGACAAUUUAAAAAUACCGAUAUACCGACAUUUCGGUAUUUUGCUGCCUAAUACCGAAAUGAAACGCUCUUUCAAGUCAAAUUUGCUUACAAUCACGUUUAGAAAGCAAAGUUAAUACUCACAGAUGCAUGAUUUUGUUCUUACAGUUCUAGCGGCUUUGGUUUAGCCACCAGACGUCUUGUUUAUUAAAUGGUGAUCGCUAGAUAGUAUACUUCAAAAUAAGGUUUCCGUUUUUAUAACGUAGAAAAAAC
Molecule: non-coding RNA, 939 nt
Organism: Paramuricea clavata
Lineage: Eukaryota; Metazoa; Cnidaria; Anthozoa; Malacalcyonacea; Plexauridae
Source: the annotation of a GenBank genome assembly